Molecule: ribosomal RNA, 266 nt
Filed under: Pristurus rupestris rupestris
Lineage: Eukaryota; Metazoa; Chordata; Lepidosauria; Squamata; Sphaerodactylidae
Description: partial 12S ribosomal RNA
Source: RNAcentral
AUAAUCGACACUCCACGCUAUACCUCACCCCCCCUUGCCACCCCAAUCUAUAUACCGCCGUCGCCAGUUCACAAUGUGAGUGUACCACCGUGAGCAAAACCAUCAACCAUUAAAACGACAGGUCAAGGUGUAGUUUACGGGGGGGGAAGUGAUGGGCUACAUUUUCUCCACUAGAAAAUACCAACCGCACCGUGAAACUUAUGCCCGCAGGCGGAUUUAGAAGUAAGCUUGGCAAGACAUGCCAACCUGAAACCAGCCCUGGGACG